This is an RNA transcript of Phasianus colchicus (ring-necked pheasant), 1921 nucleotides long. RefSeq lists it as uncharacterized. The record is from RefSeq and is a predicted model, not a curated record. Lineage: Eukaryota; Metazoa; Chordata; Aves; Galliformes; Phasianidae.
CUUUUUGGAGGUUCUUUCCUGUGGAAUUUUUCCUGUGAGCCUAGAUUUUCAGAGACAGAAACAGGAGGAAAAUAUGUUGGAAAUUGGAAGAAGCUUACAAAAGACUCACAGUAGUCACUGCUGGAAAACAUCUCAGCAAAACAGAUGGAACCUGAAGUCAAUCAGACAAAUUGGAUCAAGUUGUGAAUACAAAUGUUGAAAUUCCACAAGCGGCACAGAUUUUUUUCCUUGCAGGUGAUGAAACUGGCUUUCCAGUACAGUGCAGACCAUAAGCUUUGUUGUGUGGAUCAGAUGGCCCUACCCAGAAAAGAAAAAAUGCCACAGUCACAAGUGGGGAGGGUCAGAUGGGAAGAAGGAGACGUCUGGAAGGACAUGCCAACCAAAUCUCUUUGCAAGAAUGUUUGUUCUUGCAACUCUCUGUGGAAAAUUGUUCUAUGCUUCAGUGCUUUGUACUACUCAGAAACUUUUUGCUUUUCUGCCAGUGAGCCUUCUGUUCAGGGCCAAUUUACAUCUAGCUUUAUUGUGCUGAUGUUUAUUAUCCUCUUGAUGUAUUCAUAACCACGGCCCCAGCAGGCAUUUGUUUUUCAGCCUAUGAAGCCACAGCAACCACUGUGCACGUGUGGUUCUAAAGAAGUGCCUUGUUUAUUCUGGUGGCAAUAAAACACAAACCAAAACUACAGAUCUUGAGAAAAUGUUGCUCUGGUCUCACAUUAUGAACAGUGCAGGUGCUAAGAUGGAAAGCUAAAAAUACUGCUGCUGUUGUUUGCCCUGAAUGCAGGCAGCAAUCAGCUCUUGGUAUUUCUGCUCACCUGGUAGGACAACCUCCUCUGAGUUCUAUCUUCUCCUGUGUAUUAGGUCUUAGGCCCCGUGCCUUCCUUUUGGGCAAAGCAGCAUGAAAUCAGUUUGCUUUCAAAGCAGAUGUGCUGCUUUUACACUCCCCAUAGCAAGAUUGUGAGCUUGACUUCAUCGUUAUCAGUUCAGCCACAAAAACAGCCCUGUUCAACCCAAGGCUGAGCAGUAUCUCCUUAACACAACUGCUUUUUCCCCACAGGCCUUGGGCGAUUCUUGCAAGCUCUAAUAGGUAAGACAUUAAGCAAUGCUGGCUCCUGGCCUAGGAGGGGCUGUCAGGCAAUUUUCUUUGUGUCAGCAUUGCUUACUAUACUGAAGCAAGGAGUAGUGUGCCGCUCUCCUUCCCUGCAAGCUGCGAUUAGCAGGGACACAAAGCAGCUCUGACCAGCUGGCACUGAGAGUCUCCUUGACCCAGAAGCACACCGACAGGCUGGCACAGCUCCUGACAGCUGCUGCCCCAGCAGUGCCCAGCCCUGCCGCUGGGUGCUGGAGGAGAACGCUUGAAGAGGAAUACGCAGCAGCUGAGUCCCUUGCUGCUCUCCCCCUUGCCUAGACAGCUCCAGGUAUGUCUCCUCACACUGCUUGAAUGUGACCACGCAUGAGCUGCUCCACCACAGAGACAAGAUGGCACAAUUCCUGACUUGGUAAAACCAGGCACUCUCACUGAGUGCAUUUCACUGCUAACAUACUGAAGAUAUUAUCAGUCCUCCGGAGUGAGGCUUACCUGAAAAUUGCACAAAGUGAUUUUUCUGAUGACUUUUGGCAGUUGAGGCAAAAGGUAAACACAAUCAAGCUACAAGCACUGUAAAUUCAGCUCUUAGUCACUCAGUGUUUAGUAUUUGCUCAGUAAGUAGUUCCGGUGAAAGUCUAGAUAAUCCCACACUCUAGGCCUGCCAAAGUAUCCCCCAGAUACUAUUUCCAAAAUGUUCAACUAGAGUCUAUCAUUGCUAAAAGAAAUUGUUUCCAACAUAGAAAGAAGAAAUUGGUUUACUGACAGACUAAACAUUUUAAAAAGGAUUACUACACGUGUAACUAUCCUAUCAAUAUUUUUCUGUGUAUUACUUUCAUGCUU